AAAGAACUUGUAUACGCGUUAUAUUCCUUAAAAGGAAAAAGGCAUCGUUAGGGGCUUGGCUAAAACAUUAUCAGAGUUUGCAGCGGAAGGCGUAACUGAAAUAAUCAGUGUUUACAGCGAAAUGCAUAACUGAGAUACAUGUAUGAAGACAUGUAUCCUUUCUGAGCCUACUUUAAGUUCAACAAAAACUCCACUCAGCAACAACACUUCAUCGCCCAUCACAGCUCAACCUGCACAAACAUAAACAUCGAAGGGCUAAGUACAAGAGUACUUAGUGGGCAGUUGCCAAGCAUAUAACAUAACAUCAUUAACAAUUUCACAAUAUCGCAUAAGAGGCAUGAGUUUCUUUCAUAUCAUUUACUCAUUAAACAUUUCCAAAUUCUUAAAUAGCAUAAGGGCAUUCUUCAUCAUCAAUCUUCAUUAACAAACAUCGUGUCGUGGAGAAGGCCUUCCCCAACGAACACGGGCAUCGCGCCGUGAAGGGGAGCCUCCCUCAGCGGUCACGGCAUCGUACUAUUGAGGGAGGCCUCCCCCAAUAGACGCUGUAACACUGGCAUACUGGCAUCGCGCCGCGAGAGAGGCCUCUCUCAGCGGACACGGGCAUCGCGCCGUGAGGAAGGCCCUCCUCAACGGACACGGCAUCGUACAGUUGAGGGAGGCCUCCCCCAACAGACGCAAGCAUCAAACAUAAGCAUAAACUUAUCAGCGUAAAGCAUUCAAGCGUAAAUAAGCGUAAUCAAGCGUAAAUUACAUAGGCGUAAAUAGUAUAAACAGCAUAGCAUAAAUCAUUUAGCGUGCAGCAUAAUAAAGCUUAACUUAUUUAAGCGUAAUAAAGCAUACCACACUUGAAGAUCCAGUUUGCAUUUUAAAGCAUAACACUUGCAUAACAUUUUAUUUACGCGUAAGAAAUUGCCCACCUGAUAGCAAAGUUUUGCUAAGGUACUCUAACUCCUUGUGUAGUUCUUACUCUCGCGCUUGACCUUAAUCACGAGAAUAUAAAAUAAGACAUUGCCUCGAGGAAAAUUCUUAAUUAAUGAGAAAGCGUAAUUUAACUAUGCAUGAAUCUGGUAUGCAUGAACUAAUCUUCUGAGCGAUAAUCGGGAAUUCUACUAUUAAUCCUCGUUAAUAGAUUUAGCUAAUUCUCGUCUAGCGCGGUCGAAUAAAACUGUGAUUCUUCCUUCCUCAUCGGAAUAUUCUAGUCGUGAAAUAAACCUCGCCUUUGUACUCGAUCGGAAAUAGGACUAACUCGGCUUUAAACGAGGUGUGACCUCGUAGAAAUUUAUCGGGCUUUUCGAUAGAAACAUAAUUACUAAUGUAACCUCAAAUAAUUAAUAGGCUCAAAAGAAAGUAGCCAAUUAAUUAAAUAAACCAGUGGCUUUAAUGGAAAUAAACAAUGAUAGCUUGCUUUAAAGUCUGAAGUCCAAAAACAAUAAUUAAUAGACUGGGCGGCUCAUUUACUGAAUAAGAAUCGGCUCAUCCGCUGAUAAAUAAUUGGGCUCCAUCAAAAAUAUUACUGCAAGGCUUAACUAAAGAAGUAGCUUCAGCCCAAGUGAUAAUAGUAAUUAAUGUGGGCUGGAAACAAUAAAUCUUAGUCCAGUAGGCAAUUUAAUCGGCCCAAAAGAUGAAUUAAACUGGCCCAACGAAAUUAUAAUGGGAUUAGAAUAAUAGCCCAUCAUAAAAUAUGCAUCAGCCCAACUCCUUAAGUUAAUUCAAGCCCAAUAAAAAUAAUGAGAAGGACCAAUUAAAUUAAAGACUGGCCCAUUUCGAAUUUAUUUGCGAAAGCCCAAGCAAUUAAAAUUGGAAGCUCAAUUCCUUUAGAAUAAAACAAACCCAAGCUCAAAUAAUUCGGCCCAAAUAAUAUAGAUAAAGGCCCAAUUCGAAUUUAGAUGUGAAGCCCAAGCCAUUAAAAAUUCAAGCCCAAAAAUUAAAAGGGAAAAGCCCAAACAAUUAAAAUAAAAAUCAAGCCCACACUCUCUCUCUUCUCAAAAUUCUCGGCCAUGUUCUCUUUCUCUCUCGCUCAAAAUCCAAUCGAGCUCUCUCUCUCGAUUCACGGCUGCUUCGUGAGCUCCGCCGCUGCUCCUGCUGUGAAUCCGACGGUCGGCCGCCGUUCUCAGCUUCACGAUCCCUCUCCUCUCUCAAAAACUCGAACCAGACGCCGCCCAGCCCCUUCCUCUCCAGCCUGUUCGCUCGGCGCUCUCCAAAAUCUGUUCGGUUCCACCUUCUCCGGCCGUCCAGCCACCGUCUGCUACCACCGCAUUAGCUGCCGACGUGUUCGACACCGGCGCUCUCCAAAAUCCUUCUUCCUUCCUCACGCAGAAAUCAAGCGAGCCCUAGUUUCAUCUGGUGAGUCGCCGCUGCUGUCGCACCCUUGUCUGGAAUCCGGCGAAUCAGCCGGCGAUGAUCGUACUCGACUCUCCUCUCGUCUCAACCAUGAAAGGGAAGCAAAGCCCUCACUCUCCCCUGACGUUUCAAAUCGGGUGUUCUUCCCCAAAAUAUGAUCGGCCCUUCCUUUUCAACUCUGGUCGGCUCCUCUUCCUCCGUUCCGGUAGUCGGGUUUUGGCAGAUUCUUGGGAAGUCGUCCCUUCCCCAUCUAAAAGCUAAGUCUAAUCUCUCUCUCCAAUCCAUUCACUUAUCUAGUUUCUGUGAGUUCUUGUGAUUGUUACUCUGGAGUGUAGUGGAAGUGAAGCAUAUAAAUCCUUCUGUUGUAAAGUAUCUCCCUAUUGUACAACAUAUCUUGACUAUUUCGUGUAGAUGAACUGUGAUUAUGCUAAAUAUGGAUGCGAACUGAAUUGAAUACUCUAUUGUUUAACUGAUCAUGCUUGCUGGAUGAUGCGAAAUGGAUCGAAUAAGUUGAGCUUAGUAUAUACCUUGUAAUUGUUUGGUAUUUGGCUGUUGUGUUGAUCUCAGCAUGA
RNAcentral lists this long non-coding RNA (2912 nucleotides) under Salvia miltiorrhiza (redroot sage). RNAcentral's name for it is "long non-coding RNA (SMIL_LNC007847)". Lineage: Eukaryota; Viridiplantae; Streptophyta; Magnoliopsida; Lamiales; Lamiaceae. The record is from RNAcentral.